Molecule: ribosomal RNA, 521 nt
Filed under: uncultured bacterium
Lineage: Bacteria
Description: bacterial SSU rRNA
Rfam family: Bacterial small subunit ribosomal RNA
Source: RNAcentral
UGGGGAAUCUUGGACAAUGGGGGCAACCCUGAUCCAGCCAUGCCGCGUGAGUGAUGAAGGCCUUAGGGUCGUAAAGCUCUUUCGCCUGUGAAGAUAAUGACGGUAGCAGGUAAAGAAACCCCGGCUAACUCCGUGCCAGCAGCCGCGGUAAUACGGAGGGGGUUAGCGUUGUUCGGAAUUACUGGGCGUAAAGCGCACGUAGGCGGACCAGAAAGUUGGGGGUGAAAUCCCGGGGGCUCAACCCCGGAACUGCCUCCAAAACUAUUGGUCUAGAGUUCGAGAGAGGUGAGUGGAAUUCCAAGUGUAGAGGUGAAAAUUCGUAGAUAUUUGGAGGAACACCAGUGGCGAAGGCGGCUCACUGGCUCGAUACUGACGCUGAGGUGCGAAAAGUGUGGGGAGCAAAACAGGAUUAGAUACCCUGGUAGUCCACACCGUAAAACGAUGAAUGCCAGUCGUCGGGUAGCAUGCUAUUCGGUGACACACCUAACGGAUUAAGCAUUCCGCCUGGGGAGUACGGUCGC